AACGAACGCUGGCGGCGUGCCUAACACAUGCAAGUCGAACGGAAUGAGGGGCUUGCUCCUCAUUUAGUGGCGCACGGGUGAGUAACGCGUAGAUAAUCUGCCUGAUGAUCUGGGAUAACAUUUCGAAAGAGGUGCUAAUACCGGAUAAGCCCACGACGGCCUUGGUCGACGCGGGAAAAGGGGGGACCAUUUGGCCUUCUGUCAUCAGAUGAGUCUGCGUACCAUUAGCUAGUUGGUAGGGUAAAGGCCUACCAAGGCGACGACGGGUAGCUGGUCUGAGAGGAUGAUCAGCCACACUGGCACUGGAACACGGGCCAGACUCCUACGGGUGGCUG
Molecule: ribosomal RNA, 335 nt
Filed under: uncultured Pseudomonadota bacterium
Lineage: Bacteria; Pseudomonadati; Pseudomonadota
Description: bacterial SSU rRNA
Rfam family: Bacterial small subunit ribosomal RNA
Source: RNAcentral